This 4356-nucleotide long non-coding RNA is filed under the name Arabidopsis lyrata. RNAcentral describes it as "long non-coding RNA (ALYR_LNC002064)". The record is from RNAcentral. Lineage: Eukaryota; Viridiplantae; Streptophyta; Magnoliopsida; Brassicales; Brassicaceae.
UUUUUCGAGUUAUGGAGAUUUACUCUGAUUUAUCUGUCGAUUUAGCCAAAAAUUUCGAUCAGCGGCGGAGGACGGCCAUGAACGGCGGCACUACAACUACCACCACCGGUUCUUACGGCGGUAGACGGAGAUCCUGCGGUUCCUAAGCGCAAUACGCAACAGCAAACUCCGAUUUUAGCUAAUUUCAUGCCAGGAGUCACUGUUCUGUUUCAUGGAGUUUGUAUAUAUGAUUACAAGAAUUAGGAGUUGAUUUUGGGGUUGAUGUGAAUUAGUGUGGUGGAUUAGGAUGUUGCACUAGUCUCUUACGUGUUCUCUAAGGUAUUCUAUGCUUAUGCAUUCAGCUCCUCUGCUUUUGUUUGAUUCUUGCAUGUCUCAUUCGUAUAAUCAUUCACUAGUUUCAUGAUUUUUUCGAUGGAUGGUUGUCUGUAUUAUGGAUUUAAAUAGCUUUUAGAGAAGAUAUGAGUUGCACCAAAAAAAAGAUGGCUCUGGUUAGUUCUUGAAUAGAUCAUGAUGAUCCAUGAGAAUGAGCAAUGAGUGGCUAGGUUAUUUGGAAAUGGUACGUAGAGUCUUGAAAAGCACAAGAGAGUCUUAGAUAAGCGAGACUAGGUUCCACACACAUUAGAAAUAGUUCACUGCAAUAGGUCUCUAGGAGCACAUGACUUGGCCUACAAGCCAAACACGUUGCUGUUCUUGUCGACUAAACUUGAUCUUUUUGGCCUUUUCACUGGUUUUUUUUUUCCCAUUUUACGAGUAGUUUGAUUAUCUUCUAUAUUACAACAGAGAUUUCGUGUCAACAUGUCCAACUUACGAUAAAAUGAAUCAAAACCAUAUAGUCUAAAAGAAACUUCCCACAAGUUACAAGUGCACCAUAUAAACCAAAUGAGAUUUGGAAAUUUCAAAACAUCUUUGGAUCCAUACGGUUAUAGGGAACCUGACAAAUGGAUAUUAAAUCAUAAUAAUUAUAAUAAUAAUAAACGAUUUCAUAAUCUUGGAUUCUAAAUAAGCAUGAGGUAUGUUUGAGAGGAAGAAAACCUAGUGGUCUAUGAUCAGUAGUCAUAGGCAGGCCCGGCCCGCCACCAAUACCCAAGAUAGACCUCCAAAUUUUAAAGAUUUUGAGUACUAAAAUUAGGCCUCAAAUAUAAUUUUUUAUUGCAAAAAAAGCCUUAUUUUUCCAAAAUUUUAAGAUUUAGUCUCAAAUCUUAAAUUUUAAAAUAUUGUAAAAAUAGGCCCAAUUUUUCUGAAAAUUUAAGAUUUGGUAUCAUUUUUAAAUUUGUCUACAAAAUCCAUCAAAAAAAAAAAUUAUUCUGUAUUGGGCCUCAUAUAUAAUAGGACCGGGCCUCGUCAUAGGUUUCACCUUCAAUGAACACCUUGAAUGGACACUGAGUCUCACCUUGAAUAGAGUACUCAAACUUGAGUUGAGUAGAAAAGAGAAGAUGAGAUGAUGCUGAAAGCCUUGCCAUUGAUUUCAACUCCUUUUUAACUCUACCACUACUCCAGGUUGGUGCGAUGGAGAUUCCAACUCUCUUUAAACACUCCGAGUUGGCAAGUAGAUAUCUCACCAAUUCUUUCUCUCCGUUUCUUCCUUUAUAGUUUUUCCACUCAAAGAUCUCGAGACGGUUUAACAAACACUCUGGAACAGAACUCGGUGGGUUGAAACAAAGUGGGAGCUCUUCGUUACAGACCUGUUAAGCAACAACAUCAAGAUAAGUAACUAAAACGUUUAUUUCAUUUUGAAUUUGUUAAACCGUCCAUAUAUAUGUACCUGCUCGAUGAGAAGGACUUUUAGCUUAGGAGAAUUUUGAAGAAAAAGCAUAAAUGGUUGCAACCAAUGUAAUCCAAAUGGGAUAAUUUUUUUUUUUUUUUUUUUUUUUUUUUUUUUUUUUUUUUAAAAGGGAUAAUUUUACAUUCUACAAGCUGCGAGAAGUUAAUGUUGUAACAACAUCCAACCUGCAACAAUGAACAUAUACCUCACAAAUAAGUUGACGAUGGCAAUUUGAUCAUAAUAAUCAUAAAUAAGGUUGAAAAAGCCACUUAUACGUACCGUCUGUGUGUUCAAAAUGAAGUCGAGAUGCAUAACCGAGGAAAGAGAUUUGGUAAAACUCGUCAUCAAGAUUAGAAAAAACUUGGAUAAGUGCCUUAUCAAGGCGAGGCUUGUUCUCAAUUGAGUACAAGUUUGCCGAAAUAUCCCGAAGGAAGAUUUUUCUUAAAUUUGGAGAAUCGAUAGCCAAAGACCCCCCUGCAUAUCCGUCAUUAUUUUUUGCUACUUCCAUAUGACUAUAAUAUAAGGUCUUUAAAGAAGGCACUUUGACACUGAUAUUUUUCAAGUUGUCAAUACCAUGUCUAACCACACCUAAAUGCUUGAGAAUAGGACAACCAGAUAAAAGCCUAACAAGAGCAUCUUCAUAUUUGUACACCACAGAGAAGAGGCAAAGAAUUUCUAGACAUGGAAAGCAAACCACAGAAGGAACAUCCACCAAAAUCUUAUCGGAGAUAGUAAGAAAGACGAGCGUGUUGCAUACGUAAAGGCGAUCUGGUAACCUGAUAGGCUCUGACAACCAGCUUAGCUUGAACUCUAGCUUUCGCACUUUGCGAUCAACUGCAUCUGCAAUCCACUUUAUAACAUCAACAUCAAUAGGACAUCCAGGACCGAGUUGUACACAAAGAGUUUCUAAAACAUGGGCCUUAUGGAGUUUCAUUGACUCGUUAAGAAACCACCAUAAACUAGGCUCGUUAAGAAACCACCACAUGUUUUUUUUCCUUCCUUGUUUAUAUUCAGUAUCUCUGUACUCGAGUUCCGGUAGCAUCGUCCAAAUAGACCGCCAUCGUUUCGACAAAACCACUGUAGACACUGCAUCUUUUGUAGGUAGAAGCAACAAUAUCUUUACGAGCAAAUCAUCGGGUAGUGUACUAAUCUUGUCUUCAGUUGAAUCAGUUCUCUUGCUAAUCUUGUCUUCAGUUGAAUCAGUUCUCUCACUCUUACUCUUGAUGAAUCGUCGUGCAUUAUGUAUUAAAUGUUGUCCCAACCAUAUGGAACCGAAUAUAAGCAAAAGCUGUCCUAACAUCUUUUUGUCACGGCUCCAUACUCAUUCGUCCUAACAUCUUUUUGUCACGGCUCCAUAGACGCCUUCAUAUUAGUCAUUAAGCGUAUAUAUACAUACUAGAUAUGUCGGUUCUAUCCUUUUUUUAGAAUUAGUAACUUUACAUUAGAAUUAGUAAAUAAUUUUUUCAUUUCUAUUUUUAUUUAAUAAGAUACAUAUAAUUUCCUUAUAAUUAUUUUUUUACCUUUUUAAAAUUUUUUUGUAUAAUAUUUAUACAUAUAAUUCCCUUAUAAUUUUUUAUUAAAUUUCUAUUUUUAUUUAAUAAGAUACAUCAAAUUUCCUUAUAAUGAUCUUCUUUAGAUUUUUAGAUUUGUUUUUAUAGAAGAUAUAUACGUAUAACUUUCUUAAAAAAAAAAUCUAAAUAGAUAAAAGGAAAUUGUUGUGUUACACGUGUCCAAAUCUGAUAUCAAUAAAAAAACAAUUUUUGUAAGAAAAUAGGAGACUAUCUAUUUGUUUAUAUAGAGUUGAGUAAUUACAAUCCUUUUUUCUCUCGAAUUAAUAAUUGAUUGUAAAAUUUCCUUAAGUAUUGUAUUUAAUAUAAUAAGAUUGUAUAAUUUCUUAACUCCUUUUUUAAUUUUGAAGGAAAAACUAAUCCUUUUCUUUUAGAAUUAGUAGCUUUAAAUUAGAAUUAGUAAAUGAAUUUUUUAUUUCUAUUUUUAUUUAAUAAGAUACAUAUAGUUUCCUUAUAAUUAUCUUCUUUACUUUUAAAAAAUUGUUUUGUAUAAGAUUUAUAUGUAUAGUUGCCUUAUAAUUUUUUUCUUAAAUUUCUAUUUUUAUUUAAUAAGAUACAUAAAGUUUUCUUAUAAUGAUUUUUUUAGAUUUGUUUUUAUAUAAGAUAUAUACGUAUAAUUUUCUUAUAAUUUUUUUUCUUGAUGAAUAAAAGAAAAUUGUUGUGUUACACCUGUCAAAUUCUGGAAUCAAUAAAUUUGUCACGUGGCACGAUCCUAUAAAUUACUAAGGGCUAUGCACAAAGUUAACAAAAUUAUAAAAAAAAAAAACAAAAAACAACGGAGGACGGCAAAGAACGGCGACUUUGCAGCUACCACCACCGAUUCUUACGGUGGUAGACGGAGCUCUUGCGGUUCCUAAGCGCAAUUCACAACAGCAAACUCCGAUUUUAGCUAAUUUCAUGCUGGAGUCACUGUUCUGUUUCAUGAAGUUUGUAUAUGAUUACAAGAAUUAGGAGUUUAUUUUGGGGUUGAUGUGAAUUAGUGUGGUGGAUUAGGAUGUUGCACUAGUCUCUUACGUGUUCUCUAAG